Long non-coding RNA from Orcinus orca (killer whale), 1433 nucleotides. RefSeq lists it as uncharacterized. The record is from RefSeq and is a predicted model, not a curated record. The transcript is spliced from 3 exons. NCBI's taxonomy places the organism in Eukaryota, Metazoa, Chordata, Mammalia, Artiodactyla, Delphinidae.
AAAAAACCUGAAAAGGUGUUAAUUUACCAUACCAUCAGGGCAAUUAAUGCUCACUGGACAGUAUCUCCUAGUAGCCUUUUUGACAGCAGCUUCCUCAAAUGAAGUUGAUAUUAGAAGGAGGAGUUUCAUUAAACUUGACAGCACGGAAAAGUUUGAAAAUGUCUUUUUAACCAGGUGAGUUAGAAUCAGAUAUGCCUCUGCGAGGAAGUGAGUGAGGGAACUGUUCUCACCCCACACAAUCACCGCAAAAUCAGAUACAGGGUGAGUUAAAUAGUUACACAUCUUGCUGCAUAUCUUACCAGAUUCCCAUUUCUAUUUUUUUUUUUUUGAGCAAAAUAGCAAAGCACCUAAUAUAGGUCAUUAAGUAUGUUUGCAAUACUAUAAUUUAAUCUUUGUAACUGCCAUUGCUAACCAGACACUAACAUGCCCAUAUGCUCAGUAUAGAAAUGAUGGCAUGAAACUUUUUAGCAACUCCUUGUACUUCAUAAUAAUACUGGGUCAUCUUGAGUGUGAGGGAUCAUGACACUGUCUGUAUGUAGUUUUAAAUUCCCUAGUGAUGCCAAAUGUAUUUGUGUCAACAGAUACUGUUCCAAAAUACCGGAGUUCAAUUUAGCUGAAUACCAGGGGACUGACUCAAAUGACUGCAGGAGAAAUAAAUAUAUCUUUAACUAACUCAGAUGGCAAAAUGUUGAAAACUCAGAAAAUCUGUAUUACAAAGAGCUGGAAAGUAGUAAAGUAAGACAUUUCCAGAAAGGCUAAUCAAUUUAGUGUUUUCUUUAAUUAUAUUAUUGGAACCCUUUUUAAUUCACAUCUUUUCUCAGCCAUAUGUGAAAACCUGUUUUUUACCAACUUAUGAUAGCAUCUAAUUAAUUAUGAAUAAUAAAUCAUCGUUACAAAUGUAGAAAUCUGUUUUAUACUACAGAACUAUUCAAUAUAGUAAAAUACCAAUAAUCAUAGUAAUAAUAAUCACCAAAGUAAUAUGUAACUCUGACUGAGUACUUAAUAUGAGCUAGAAGCUUCACUAAGUACCUUUAUGGAUUGUUUUAUAUUAACCUCCCAACAACCUUGUGAGAUAGGUAAAAUAAUUUGCUAUUUCCUAUUCUAAUGAAUGGCUAAGACUUUUAUUGAGAAUUUUCUGUGUGUCAGGCACUGUACAUGUAUUAACUCAUUCAUUCCUCACAACUCUCCACAAAGCAGGUGCUCUCGUUAUUCCCAUUUUAGGCAUGAGGAAACUGAGGUACAGAGUUGAAGUGACCCGCCCAGGGCUACUAAGCUGUAAGUGACAUAGCCAACACCCAAACUCCAUCUGUCUGGCUCCAAGCUCAAUCUUUCCUUACUAAACAGCUGCUCAACACCUGCUAUAUUUUCUUUGAAAUUUCUGUGUGCCAGGCACUGUAGCAAAUGGUCUUCAUAUGUUAAUUAUCCCUCCUUGA